AGUCCGUCGGUGGCUCCCGUUCCGGGUCGGUGGUGUGGGGUCCUCCUCCAGUGUCAGGUAGGGUUGUUUUGGAUUUCCCUUUUCUCGGUUCGUUGCUGGAGCUGCCCCGGGGGUCCCUGCCGGAGCGGUCCCUGCCGGAGCGGUCCCUGCCGGAGCGGUCCCUGCCGGAGCGGUCCCUGCCGGAGCGGUCCCUGCCGGAGCGGUCCCUGCCGGAGCGGUCCCUGCCGGAGCGGUCCCUGCCGGGGUUGCCCUGCAGGACUGUGCCGGAGCGGCUCCCCAGGAGCGGCUGCUACAGCGCUCAGGAUAUCUUGUUCUCUCUGGCAGUACGGCGUUCUUCAGUUUGUCAGGUGAAGCGGGAGUGUUGUCUGUUGGUUUGUAGUUUCAACAGGUGGGUUGCAGACUCGAGUUUGUGAGGUGGUUGUUCAGAAGUGUGGCGUUUCUGUGCGGGUUAAGAAGCCCACUGUGAAGUUUGCAGCUCUUCAAGUAUGUGGGAAGAAACAGAAAGGUUAGUGUCCUUGAGAGGCUUGAAUGCUUACUUUGAGUUGAAGUCAUCCAAAGUUGAGUUGGGUCAUCCAAAGAGGUAAGUGCAUUGUCUGUAGUUGAGUUUUUUCCUGUUGGGUAGUGUGGCCUUGUUAAGCAUUUCCUGGAAUAUUUGUUGUGUUUUGGGGUUGUUUACAGGUUUGGGUCUUUUUCUGUUUGUUUUCUUCCUGAUUUUUUGUUCCUGUUCCCUUUACCUUUGUGUUGGCUUUCUGUGGCAGUUUUGCUUGCCUUUUUAUUAGCGUUUGUUUUAGUUUUGUUUGGGUCUUUUGUUUGGUUUUGGUUUUUUUUUGCCUUUGUGUUUCAGUUGAUGUAUCAUUUACCUUUUCUUUUGUAUUCUGUGGGCGUUUUCUGUUUUCUCCUUUGUGUUAGCUCUGGAUUUCCUUGUGUGUUGUCCUUUACCUUUUGGUUCAGUUUUUCCUGGGUGUUCUCUUUGCCUCGGUGUUGGAUUUCGUUAUUCUUCGGUGGUGUUUUGAGUUUGUUUUAGCACUGUGUGAGUGUUUUUCUUAUGUUUCAGUUGUUCUUUGCUUCUGCUGCAUGUUUGGUUUGCCUUCGCGUUUGGUUUUGGUUUUCUUUCUUUGGUCUUGCUUUUCCCUGGGUUUUGCAUUCAGUUUGGUUUCGUGUUGUGCUGUGCAUUGUGACCAUUUUUGCAUUUGGUUUGGGUUUGCUUUGGUGUUCUACUCUGCGUCGCCUCUGCUUUUCUUUAAGGUUUCUGUAGUGCUGUGUUUGUUUUUUAGCUUUUUGGGGGUGCUUUGGUUUUUGCCUUCUGCAGGUGCUUUGCUGGUUUUUGAUUUUCUGUGGGUGUUUUCUUAGUUUGUUUUCCCUUUUAGUUCCUGUCUGGUGUUUUUUCCAUUACUUGUAGAUUUUUGUUCUCUGUUGGUGUCGUUAGGUUUGUGGUUAGGUUUCCCAUGGGUUUUCUUCUUUUGAUUUUCUGUGCUGUUUGUCAUUUGUUUUCUCUGAGUGUUGUGUGAGUGGUUUCCAUUUGUUUUGUCAUGCUGUUUGUGUUGUAUUUGUUUUGUUCUGUUAGGUGUUGUGUUUUGCUUUUGGCUUUGCCUUUGGUUUAGUUUCUCCUUGGUUUUUUGCUUGUUUUAGUCAUUGCCUUCAUGUUUUGCGGGCCCCGUUUUUGCUUUUGCAUUAACUUUCUGUGGGUGCUUUCCUUGCUUUUUGGAUGUAUUUUUGCUUUCUUUGCGUGUUUCUUAUUUUUUUUUGGUUCCUCAUGCUUUUGCCUUUGCUUUUCCUGCAUGUUAGCUUCAUUGUCACAUUGGCUUUUGUGUUCUGUUUUUGUGGGGCUUCUCGUUGGUUUUGUUUCAAGUUUUAUUGGUGUUUUGUCUUUGUGUUGUGUUUGUGCCCGUGUGGUAACUUUACUUUGUUGGGAUUUUUGUUUGUGGUUGGUGGGUUUUGUUCUUUUUCCGUUUGCAUUUGCUUUGUAUGGCUGUUAUUGUUGUGUCUUGCAUGUGGUGGUGGUGGUGUGUGUGUGAUUGCUUGUUUUUGUUUGUUUGUAUUUUACUGUGUCUUUUGUCCAUUUUUUCUUGUAGGCUUUCAUAGGCUUCUUUUUGUUUCUAGCUAUGGGUUUACUUAUAGUGGCUGUUGUUUGCGUUUGUUAUAGCUUUUUUUUGGGGGGGGGGGGGGUUGUUUUCAUUAUUUAAUUGGUUUGGUCUAGGUAUUUUCAUUAAUUUUGGCUCUUGGGUUUCUUUACUGUUCUUGUUAGGUUUUUUUGCCAGUUUUAGUGUUACCUUUCUGUGGUUUUUCUUUUUUACUGGUUUUUCUGUGUUUGGUAAUUGCUUUUUGUUUGUGUAUGUUGUGCUGUGUUCUUAGCUUGGUUUUUGAUCUCCCAUGGUGGUUUUUUUUGUCUUUGUUUUCUAUUCUGUUUCGGUUUUGCUUUCCCUUGGUUUAUUUAUUUGCAUGAAUUGUGUCGGUCUUUGCUGUUUCUGGGCCUUGUUCUUUUCUUUCUGCUAGCGGUUUCUUUUGCCCUCGUCUUUGACUUUUUGCUCGCUUGUCUUUCUAUUGCGUUUAUCUUGUGUGUGUCUUGUUACGCAAUUAGCUGUGCCUGUUUUUGUCUUUGUUUUCAUGCAGGGCUUUUGUCUUCUGUGGUUGUUGCCUUCAUUGCUGGGAUCGGAUGUGUUGGGGAUGUGUCUUUGACUUCAAUGUAAUUGUUGUGAAUGUCAUUCUAAUUGCUUUUCUUUACAGUUAAUUGGUGUUGAUCUUGAAGGGUUAUGCUAUUUGUAAUGCUAGGUGCUGUUCUGAUUAUUGAACUAAGUUGGCAGUAUAAUCUUAAAGGUUCAGUAGAUUUGGUUCUUAUGAACAGCUGUAUGCUUAGAAGGUGUUGUAGAAUGAGUAGUAAAAAACUUACUUGAAAUAAUCAUCACUUGAGUUGUUGCAUCUGUUUGUUGGGCUUGGCUGUCUGUCUUGUCUUCUUUGGGGUUACCUUCAACUUUUGCUGUUAGUAUGUGUGGAUUUGUAGCGGAUGGUGUUCUAGGUUUCUUGAUGGACUCAGUAAGUUUUCUUACUAACACAUGUAAUGUGUUUAUUUAUGUGUGAGUGUCAGUCCCAGUUGUUGAAUCAGUUUCUGGAUCUGUGACUUCACUGCCUUUGCUCUCAGUCUUCCUUCUUCCUCAUGUUAUUGUCUUUUUUUUUUGGUCAUGUUCUUCUUGCUGUGAUUUGUGUAAUUAUAUUUUUCUAUUCUUUGAGUUGCUUAUCUUCAAUUGUUUUGUGUAGUGUAGCGGUGGGCUUUUUUGGAGCAUCGGGUGUCUGGUUUUGUAUUUUGCAGUCUUUGCGUGUGUGUGUGGUGAUGCUACUUGUCUUUGUUAUUGUGCAUGAUCUUAUUGCUGUUGCGUGAAUUGUUGCUUGUUUUGAUUAUGCCAUAGCAUCUUGUCUUAGCUUGUGUGUUUUCUCUUGCGUUCUCAUAGGUCUUCAGUACUGAUCGUGCUUUGGAUCUGUGUUAUAGGUGUUGGUUUUGGUCAGUAGCUGUGUUUGAGUUGUUUCAUCUGUACUCUUAACACUUGGUUGUGUCUCUUCCUUUUUUAUAGUGAAGCUGCCAUCUUCUUCUGGAGAGCGUGGACAAUAAAUGUGCUAAACCCUU
This is an RNA transcript of Gallus gallus (chicken), 3616 nucleotides long. RefSeq lists it as uncharacterized. Lineage: Eukaryota; Metazoa; Chordata; Aves; Galliformes; Phasianidae. The record is from RefSeq and is a predicted model, not a curated record. The transcript is spliced from 3 exons.